GGGCCGGUAGCUCAGCCUGGUAGAGCACUUGACUUUUAAUCAAGGGGUCGCGAGUUCGAAUCUCGUCCGGCCCG
This 74-nucleotide transfer RNA is filed under the name Candidatus Woesearchaeota archaeon. RNAcentral's name for it is "tRNA-Lys". It matches the Rfam family "tRNA". From Rfam's summary of the family: Transfer RNA (tRNA) molecules are approximately 80 nucleotides in length. Their secondary structure includes four short double-helical elements and three loops (D, anti-codon, and T loops). Lineage: Archaea; Nanobdellati; Candidatus Woesearchaeota. The record is from RNAcentral.